RNAcentral lists this RNase P RNA (328 nucleotides) under bovine gut metagenome. Its description in RNAcentral is "Bacterial RNase P class A". It matches the Rfam family "Bacterial RNase P class A". From Rfam's summary of the family: Ribonuclease P (RNase P) is a ubiquitous endoribonuclease, found in archaea, bacteria and eukarya as well as chloroplasts and mitochondria. Its best characterised activity is the generation of mature 5'-ends of tRNAs by cleaving the 5'-leader elements of precursor-tRNAs. The record is from RNAcentral.
AGCGGGUCAGGCAGCUGCGUGGCCUUUCGGCCAUGAGGAAAGUCCGAGCACCACAGGGCAGGAUAACGGCUAACGGCCGCCGAGGGUGACCUCAGGGAAAGUGCAACAGAGAGAUACCGCCGGUUCUUCCGGCAAGGGUGGAAAGGCGAGGUAAGAGCUCACCGGCGUGCGGGAGACCGCACGGCCAUGUAAACCCUAUCCGGUGCAACAUCAACAGGGAGCGACACAUUGGCCCGAUGUGCUUCCGACAGAUGGCUGGAGCGGCGCGGCAACGCGCCGUCGAGAUAGAUAGCUGUCCGCGACAGAACUCGGCUUAUCGUCUCACUCG